Molecule: long non-coding RNA, 206 nt
Filed under: Lathyrus oleraceus (garden pea)
Lineage: Eukaryota; Viridiplantae; Streptophyta; Magnoliopsida; Fabales; Fabaceae
Description: Pisum sativum (pea) long non-coding RNA (PSAT_LNC024540)
Source: RNAcentral
UAUUAUUUCCCUGAUUUUGAUGGACUGAUUCAUAUUUGCAACCCACAGGGGUGCCCUAAUUUUUUCCUAAGUCACUCAUUUUUAAACUUUCGACUUAGUGGGCUCUCUUUCUUUUUAUUUUGAUUUUUUUGAUUUCUUGUUGUUCCUUUUGUUGAAAUAAGUCGCGUGACAUCUGGUAGUUUGAUUUGAAGAGGUUAUGAUUGCCU